RNAcentral lists this ribosomal RNA (253 nucleotides) under uncultured bacterium. RNAcentral's name for it is "partial 16S ribosomal RNA". It matches the Rfam family "Bacterial small subunit ribosomal RNA", at positions 524 to 776 of the family's 1533-position model. The record is from RNAcentral.
UACGUAGGGGGCAAGCGUUGUCCGGAAUUAUUGGGCUUAAAGGGUCCGUAGGCGGCGCGGCAAGUUGGGUGUGAAAUCCCUCGCCUCAAUCGAGGAAUUGCGCCCAAAACUGCCGUGCUCGAGGGAGACAGAGGUAAGCGGAACUGAUGGUGGAGCGGUGAAAUGCGUUGAUAUCAUCAGGAACACCAGUGGCGAAGGCGGCUUACUGGGUCUCUACUGACGCUGAGGGACGAAAGCUAGGGUAGCGAACGGG